RNAcentral lists this ribosomal RNA (880 nucleotides) under Salmonella enterica subsp. enterica serovar Havana. RNAcentral describes it as "partial 23S ribosomal RNA". It matches the Rfam family "Bacterial large subunit ribosomal RNA", at positions 161 to 979 of the family's 2925-position model. Lineage: Bacteria; Pseudomonadati; Pseudomonadota; Gammaproteobacteria; Enterobacterales; Enterobacteriaceae. The record is from RNAcentral.
AAUCCAUAGGUUAAUGAGGCGAACCGGGGGAACUGAAACAUCUAAGUACCCCGAGGAAAAGAAAUCAACCGAGAUUCCCCCAGUAGCGGCGAGCGAACGGGGAGGAGCCCAGAGCCUGAAUCAGCAUGUGUGUUAGUGGAAGCGUCUGGAAAGGCGCGCGAUACAGGGUGACAGCCCCGUACACAAAAGCGCAUGUGCUGUGAGCUCGAUGAGUAGGGCGGGACACGUGGUAUCCUGUCUGAAUAUGGGGGGACCAUCCUCCAAGGCUAAAUACUCCUGACUGACCGAUAGUGAACCAGUACCGUGAGGGAAAGGCGAAAAGAACCCCGGCGAGGGGAGUGAAAAAGAACCUGAAACCGUGUACGUACAAGCAGUGGGAGCCCCACCACUAAGCCAGUGGUGAACUCCACAUACGCAUCCUUUGCUGAGGAUACGGUUAACGGAGCGCAAGCGACGUUCAACCGCAAAAGAAGCAGAGGGGGCUUAGUGGUGGGGUGACUGCGUACCUUUUGUAUAAUGGGUCAGCGACUUAUAUUCUGUAGCAAGGUUAACCGUAUAGGGGAGCCGCAGGGAAACCGAGUCUUAACCGGGCGUUAAGUUGCAGGGUAUAGACCCGAAACCCGGUGAUCUAGCCAUGGGCAGGUUGAAGGUUGGGUAACACUAACUGGAGGACCGAACCGACUAAUGUUGAAAAAUUAGCGGAUGACCUGUGGCUGGGGGUGAAAGGCCAAUCAAACCGGGAGAUAGCUGGUUCUCCCCGAAAGCUAUUUAGGUAGCGCCUCGUGAACUCAUCUCCGGGGGUAGAGCACUGUUUCGGCUAGGGGGCCAUCCCGGCUUACCAACCCGAUGCAAACUGCGAAUACCGGAGAAUGUUAUCACG